This 21-nucleotide non-coding RNA is filed under the name Caenorhabditis elegans. The record is from RNAcentral. Lineage: Eukaryota; Metazoa; Nematoda; Chromadorea; Rhabditida; Rhabditidae.
UCUGUGCGGUUCACAUUUCGU